Molecule: ribosomal RNA, 440 nt
Filed under: uncultured bacterium
Lineage: Bacteria
Description: partial 16S ribosomal RNA
Rfam family: Bacterial small subunit ribosomal RNA
Source: RNAcentral
CCUACUGGUGGCUGCAGUCGAGAAUCAUUCACACUGGGGGAAACCCUGAUGGUGCGACGCCGCGUGAGUGAAGAAGUAUUUCGGUAUGUAAAGCUCUAUCAGCAGGGAAGAAAAUGACAGUACCUGACCAAGAAGCCCCGGCUAACUACGUGCCAGCAGCCGCGGUAAUACGUAGGGGGCAAGCGUUAUCCGGAUUUACUGGGUGUAAAGGGAGCGUAGACGGUUAUGUAAGUCUGGAGUGAAAGCCCGGGGCCCAACCCCGGGACUGCUUUGGAAACUGUGUAACUGGAGUACAGGAGGGGCAGGCGGAAUUCCUGGUGUAGCGGUGAAAUGCGUAGAUAUCAGGAGGAACACCGGCGGCGAAGGCGGCCUGCUGGACUGAAACUGACGUUGAGGCUCGAAAGCGUGGGGAGCAAACAGGAUUAGAUACCCUUGUAGUC